RNAcentral lists this ribosomal RNA (394 nucleotides) under uncultured bacterium. RNAcentral's name for it is "partial 16S ribosomal RNA". It matches the Rfam family "Bacterial small subunit ribosomal RNA", at positions 338 to 729 of the family's 1533-position model. The record is from RNAcentral.
CCUACGGGUGGCAGCAGUGAGGAAUAUUGGUCAAUGGACGCAAGUCUGAACCAGCCAUGUCGCGUGCAGGAUGACGGCCCUAUGAGUUGUAAACUGCUUUUGUAUGAGGGUAAACUCAUCCACGUGUAUGUUUCUGUAAGUACCGUAUGAAUAAGGAUCGGCUAACUCCGUGCCAGCAGCCGCGGUAAUACGGAGGAUCCAAGCGUUAUCCGGAUUUAUUGGGUUUAAAGGGUGCGUAGGUGGUCUGUUAAGUUAGUUGUGAAAGUUCGAGGCUCAACCUCAAAAUUGCCGUUGAUACUGGUAGGCUAGAGAGUAGUUGCGGUGGGCGGAAUGUGUGGUGUAGCGGUGAAAUGCUUAGAGAUCAUACAGAACACCGAUUGCGAAGGCAGCUUAC